Molecule: transfer RNA, 71 nt
Filed under: Ovis aries (sheep)
Lineage: Eukaryota; Metazoa; Chordata; Mammalia; Artiodactyla; Bovidae
Rfam family: tRNA
About the family: Transfer RNA (tRNA) molecules are approximately 80 nucleotides in length. Their secondary structure includes four short double-helical elements and three loops (D, anti-codon, and T loops). Further hydrogen bonds mediate the characteristic L-shaped molecular structure. tRNAs have two regions of fundamental functional importance: the anti-codon, which is responsible for specific mRNA codon recognition, and the 3' end, to which the tRNAs corresponding amino acid is attached (by aminoacyl-tRNA synthetases). tRNAs cope with the degeneracy of the genetic code in two manners: having more than one tRNA (with a specific anti-codon) for a particular amino acid; and 'wobble' base-pairing, i.e. permitting non-standard base-pairing at the 3rd anti-codon position.
Source: Rfam by way of RNAcentral
UCCCUAGUGGCUCAGUGGUAAAGAAUCUGCCUGUGAUGCAGGAAACGUAGGUUCAAUCCCUGAGUUGGGAA